GCGUCGGUGGCGGAGCGGCCAAUCGCAAUAGACUGUAAAUCUAUCGCCCAAUGGGCUACGCAGGUUCGAAUCCUGCCCGACGCA
RNAcentral lists this transfer RNA (84 nucleotides) under Candidatus Liptonbacteria bacterium. RNAcentral's name for it is "tRNA-Tyr". It matches the Rfam family "tRNA". From Rfam's summary of the family: Transfer RNA (tRNA) molecules are approximately 80 nucleotides in length. The record is from RNAcentral. Lineage: Bacteria; Candidatus Liptoniibacteriota.